RNAcentral lists this ribosomal RNA (465 nucleotides) under Vreelandella stevensii. RNAcentral's name for it is "partial 16S ribosomal RNA". It matches the Rfam family "Bacterial small subunit ribosomal RNA", at positions 338 to 795 of the family's 1533-position model. Lineage: Bacteria; Pseudomonadati; Pseudomonadota; Gammaproteobacteria; Oceanospirillales; Halomonadaceae. The record is from RNAcentral.
CCUACGGGGUGCAGCAGUGGGGAAUAUUGGACAAUGGGCGAAAGCCUGAUCCAGCCAUGCCGCGUGUGUGAAGAAGGCCUUCGGGUUGUAAAGCACUUUCAGUGGGGAAGAAAGCCUUGGGGCUAAUACCCUCGAGGAAGGACAUCACCCACAGAAGAAGCACCGGCUACCUCCGUGCCAGCAGCCGCGGUAAUACGGAGGGUGCGAGCGUUAAUCGGAAUUACUGGGCGUAAAGCGCGCGUAGGCGGUCUGAUAAGCCGGUUGUGAAAGCCCCGGGCUCAACCUGGGAACGGCAUCCGGAACUGUCAGGCUAGAGUGCAGGAGAGGAAGGUAGAAGUCCCGGUGUAGCGGGGAAAUGCGUAGAGAUCGGGAGGAAUACCAGUGGCGAAGGCGGCCUUCUGGACUGACACUGACGCUGAGGUGCGAAAGCGUGGGUAGCAAACAGGAUUAGAUACCCCAGUAGUC